This 295-nucleotide long non-coding RNA is filed under the name Trifolium pratense (red clover). RNAcentral describes it as "long non-coding RNA (TPRA_LNC010798)". Lineage: Eukaryota; Viridiplantae; Streptophyta; Magnoliopsida; Fabales; Fabaceae. The record is from RNAcentral.
CUGGAAGAUGAAGUUCAACGGUGUCACUGCCUUGUUCUCUACGCCACUUAUAAAUAGGAUCAAAAUCCUCAUAAGUCCGAUUAUGUGCAUGCUUGCUUUCCAUUUUAUUUCACAACAAAGUCUUAAUUUGGUGCUUGAUUGAUCGAUGAUCAAUAAAUUUAUUAGGUUGAAGGAAUUAAACCUACUAAUGAAGGGUACAAGGGCUUUCAAAUUUGCCUUAAAGAGUUGGUCAUAAGCUAGAAUUAUUCUUUGUUAACCUUUCCAAGUCUUGGCAGCUUGAGGAUUUGGGGUAUAG